RNAcentral lists this ribosomal RNA (551 nucleotides) under uncultured bacterium. Its description in RNAcentral is "bacterial SSU rRNA". It matches the Rfam family "Bacterial small subunit ribosomal RNA", at positions 567 to 1116 of the family's 1533-position model. The record is from RNAcentral.
GUGCGUAGGCGGCCCUGUAAGUAUGGUGUGAAAUCUCCCGGCUUAACUGGGAGGGUGCGCUAUAGACUGCGGGGCUCGAGUGUGGGAGAGGAAAGUGGAAUUCCUGGUGUAGCGGUGAAAUGCGUAGAUAUCAGGAGGAACACCGGUGGUGUAAACGGCUUUCUGGACCACAACUGACGCUGAGGCACGAAAGCGUGGGUAGCAAACAGGAUUAGAUACCCUGGUAGUCCACGCCCUAAACGAUGCAUAUUUGGUGUGGGUCAUUCAGUUGAUCCGUGCCGGAGCUAACGCGUUAAAUAUGCCGCCUGGGGAGUACAGUCGCAAGGCUGAAACUCAAAGGAAUUGACGGGGGCCCGCACAAGCGGUGGAGCAUGUGGUUUAAUUCGACGCAACGCGAAGAACCUUACCUGGGCUCGAAAUGCUGUGGACCAGCUGGUGAAAGCCGGCCUUCCCGCAAGGGACUGCAGUAUAGGUGCUGCAUGGCUGUCGUCAGCUCGUGUCGUGAGAUGUUGGGUUAAGUCCCGCAACGAGCGCAACCCUUGUCCUGUGUU